This 343-nucleotide ribosomal RNA is filed under the name Gammaproteobacteria bacterium. Its description in RNAcentral is "partial 23S ribosomal RNA". It matches the Rfam family "Bacterial large subunit ribosomal RNA", at positions 2599 to 2925 of the family's 2925-position model. Lineage: Bacteria; Pseudomonadati; Pseudomonadota; Gammaproteobacteria. The record is from RNAcentral.
CGCGAGCUGGGUUUAGAACGUCGUGAGACAGUUCGGUCCCUAUCUGCCGUGGGCGCAGGAGAUUUGCGAAGAGUUGCCCCUAGUACGAGAGGACCGGGGUGAACGAACCGCUGGUGUUCGGGUUGUCUCGCCAGAGGCAUUGCCCGGUAGCUAUGUUCGGACGGGAUAACCGCUGAAGGCAUCUAAGCGGGAAGCCUCCUUCAAGACGAGAUCUCCCUGAGGAUCCGGGCUUGCCCGGCUCCUCCUGAAGUGCCGUUGAAGACGACGACGUUGAUAGGCCGGGUGUGUAAGCGCUGUGAGGCGUUGAGCUAACCGGUACUAAUUGCACGUGAGGCUUGAUCGC